Long non-coding RNA from Bubalus bubalis (water buffalo), 2660 nucleotides. RefSeq lists it as uncharacterized. The record is from RefSeq and is a predicted model, not a curated record. The transcript has 2 exons. NCBI's taxonomy places the organism in Eukaryota, Metazoa, Chordata, Mammalia, Artiodactyla, Bovidae.
AUUGCAGCAACUUUUAUAAUUGAUCGAUUUUUUUUUCACUUAAUCUAUUUAAAAAUCAGAACCAUUGCCAAGUUUUCUAAAGCUUUUUGAAAUGGAUACUGGCUUGGUCACCCAGUACCUCCCAGGUCCCCACACACUACAAACACGGCCGAAAGCAUCUCAACCAUCUCCUCUGUGGCUCUGCCCAGCUCAGCAUCAGGCAGGCCGGCAAUUUCACCUGGGCAGAGGGCUCCAUUUCCUUUACUGAAAGGUAAUACUCCUUGGGAAUCACUUUAUCUUGAUUGGGCUUCCAGAUCCUUCCCUUAAUGUUUGUUCUUCUCUUUCCUGCCUUUUUUGAGUACUGAUCUGAGGAGAAGUUAAGAGAGGCAUUUAAUAAUUUAUUCAGUUGACAACUGACACCUUGCUUAAAAAAAAAAAAAUACAUGACACCAAAUAUUAUGUACCUAAAGAACAAAGGUGCUUCAACUCACCGAGCCUAAAACAGCUGAUAUGAGUAAGAAGAUGGAAAGGGUGAACAUGUUUCUAGAGAGGCUGCUUUUAUUUGCAAGAAAUCCCCUCUACAGCUGGUGAGCCUGUCAAUACAACAAGAAGGGUGGAGGCCAUCUCUCUCAAGAUGAUUUGAGGAAUAAUGGUGAGCAACCAGGUAGUUGAUGCAGUGUGAGAAGGCCUGUCGUCCACGCCUCUACCUCCUCUGAGGGAUCUGCCCUGUUCAUCUGUCAGUUCAGCAGAAGCUCUGUCUGUGACGACCAGAAGCCUGGCGAAAUUAGAGGAGAAGGCAGCCAGCCUAAAGGUGAAAGACGAGGAGAUGAGUGACUUCCUCGGGUACUUCUGUGCAGAUAAAAGCUAAUUCUGAUAAAACCAAGACUGAAAUCCUUCCAGCCCACAGAAAGUCAAGGUCAGACAACAUGAACCAAUCAAGUUGAAAGCUGCCUGAUUUUUUUUUUUUUUUUCCCAGAAGUGAGUCAGAGACUGACAGAGGGACAGAGGUGGAUGGAGGAAGGAUGAGGGGGAAGAGGGAAGAAGGAAGGAGAAAAGCCUCCCAUCGAGAUGAACAGAUGGACUGACAGGGUGAACGAGAGGUGGAGAUGGACAGGGGAAAAAGGAGCUCCUUUCCCUGUUCCUUACGUAUUUCAGGAUCAAAAGGCAUAGGAAAAAAAAAAAAUCUUCAAGUUUUUCAUCAGGCCCUGGGGGUGACGGGACCAAGGUCCAGCUGUCAAUGGGUGUUUUUCCUGGGGUUUUGCAAGUCGGCCACGUGCCCUAACCUUGAGGAUGCUGUUUAUUCCUGGGGGAGAGAUAAGCCAGCAGCCCCGGCCCCACCCCCAUCGGAGCAGAGUGGGCAUUACCAGCGAACAAAGAAAGAGCGCUGUACAGCAACAAGCAUUUGGUUUUGAUUAGAGCAUAUUCAGAGACUGUGCAAGUUCUAUUAAAAUAAGCACAAAACCAUCUUAAAGGGCUUUUUCUUUUCUUUCUCUUCCCCCCCCUCGGUUUAUAUUGUUAAUCUUUCUUCCUGGACGGCUCCUCACAAAUGCCUUUUGUUUUCUUGUGUGAUUCUACGUGCCAGGACUCUAAGAAGGCAGGACGGAGGUCCUAUUCUGGCAUGCUUUCAAGUCUCUUCCAUAGGAGAUGAAGGCUCGUUGCUGUGCCUUCAAGGGUAUAAAUUUAGAGGCCGCCAAACCGUCCGGAGGUAAUUCAAAUGCUGGUAAAUGGUGGAAUCCACCCUGGCCCCCUGCUCCUAUGAAUACCCUGGCACUUACCCCACUCAGAGGAAACGAAACCAAUUUGGGAAAGCGAAGACAGAAUAAACAUGCAAUUAAAAUGGUCAUUCCUCCUGGUUUCUUCCUUUAGUUCUUUUUUUAACACUGCAUCCCAUUCUAUAAUCUGAUGAUGAAAUGGGCCUAGCUAAUUAUAACAACGUACAAAAGAUCGCUGUCUUUUUCCCCACAGUGACUAGGCUAGCUUUGAAUUUUUUUUUUUUUUUUUUUUUUGUAGUGGGGGGCGCAGGAGGUGGUGAGGAAGGGGAAGAGAGGUGGACGAACUUCAAGGGAAGCCGUCAUUUUGGAAGAGCCGCUGUUUUUUUAUAUUGUUUCAAGCCCUUUGCCAAGGUGAACAUUUCAGAAAUGGCACUUCCCUUUCAAUUUAUCUAUCUUCCUCCUUUAUCCAUAGAUAGACAAAUAAAAAUGAAUCUUUCCAGAGGCAGCACGCAUGCCACUUCUAUAUAUUCUUCAGAUAGCUUAUUUUUAUUCAGCUUAAAGCAUAACCUAUCAUUUUUAUUCAAGAUUCCAUCCAGCCUCUCUCUCUCUCUCUCUCCAAGCAAGCCUUCAAGAAGCCCUGCUGCCCUGCUUUGUUCCAGAGACUCUGCUAAAGGCCAAAAGACGGAGAUAGCACACCCAUCUGGUCUGUUUCACAUCUGAAGAGAAGGGCUUGAGAGAGCCCCCUCCAGUGGAAGGAACAGGGUGGUCGGGAAUAAGCAUCGCAGUCUUCUCUUUGUUUGUUUGUGAUUAGCUUCUCGCGCUCAUCUCAGGAAGACUCUUAAUACCCAUGGGGAAAUAACACCAUGGAACGAAGCUCACCCAGCAAACAGGAGGAUUCGUUGCCAGGGCUUUGAAAUACUUACACGUAAAGAUUCCAUUUCGGUGUCAAAAAAAACAUAAGCAUCUCAC